This 498-nucleotide ribosomal RNA is filed under the name uncultured bacterium. RNAcentral describes it as "partial 16S ribosomal RNA". It matches the Rfam family "Bacterial small subunit ribosomal RNA", at positions 30 to 523 of the family's 1533-position model. The record is from RNAcentral.
AUUGAACGCUGGCGGCAUGCCUUACACAUGCAAGUCGAACGGUAACAGGUCUUCGGAUGCUGACGAGUGGCGAACGGGUGAGUAAUACAUCGGAACGUGCCUAGUAGUGGGGGAUAACUACCCGAAAGAGUGGCUAAUACCGCAUGAGAUCUACGGAUGAAAGCAGGGGAUCGCAAGACCUUGUGCUACUAGAGCGGCCGAUGGCAGAUUAGGUAGUUGGUGGGAAAAAAGCUUACCAAGCCGACGAUCUGUAGCUGGUCUGAGAGGACGAUCAGCCACACUGGGACUGAGACACGGCCCAGACUCCUACGGGAGGCAGCAGUGGGGAAUUUUGGACAAUGGGCGAAAGCCUGAUCCAGCAAUGCCGCGUGGAGGAUGAAGGCCUUCGGGUUGUAAACUGCUUUUGUACGGAACGAAAAGCCCCGGGUUAAUACCCUGGGGUCAUGACGGUACCGUAAGAAUAAGCACCGGCUAACUACGUGCCAGCAGCCGCCGUAA